AUCGCUUCUCGGCCUUUUGGCUAAGAUCAAGUGUAGUGUGAGACCUGUAAACCCUAAUUUCCUUAGGCAAUUGUUAGUAGAGUUUUCUUUUAUAUUCUCCUAGAUAUCCUCCUGAUACUGUCCUCUUCUGUGAAGACCAUAACAUGAACUUCAUGACCUUAAAUAAAGCAAUCAUUAUUUAUAGAUGAUAGGACUU
Molecule: small nuclear RNA, 196 nt
Filed under: Panthera leo (lion)
Lineage: Eukaryota; Metazoa; Chordata; Mammalia; Carnivora; Felidae
Description: U2 spliceosomal RNA (ENSPLOG00000009360.1)
Rfam family: U2 spliceosomal RNA (bases 1-112)
About the family: U2 is a small nuclear RNA (snRNA) component of the spliceosome (involved in pre-mRNA splicing). Complementary binding between U2 snRNA (in an area lying towards the 5' end but 3' to hairpin I) and the branchpoint sequence (BPS) of the intron results the bulging out of an unpaired adenosine, on the BPS, which initiates a nucleophilic attack at the intronic 5' splice site, thus starting the first of two transesterification reactions that mediate splicing.
Source: RNAcentral